Long non-coding RNA from Eriocheir sinensis (Chinese mitten crab), 2615 nucleotides. RefSeq lists it as uncharacterized. The record is from RefSeq and is a predicted model, not a curated record. The transcript is spliced from 3 exons. Lineage: Eukaryota; Metazoa; Arthropoda; Malacostraca; Decapoda; Varunidae.
AGUAACACCUCCACUUACGACCUCAAUACUUAAAACACUAUUACUUACUUAUAAACACCCACUUAUGUACUUAAACAAACACACAUAUAUCACUUUAGAGAGUACAAAUGACAAGCUUCCAUCGAAAGUUAUGAACAUUUAUUUACUUUGAGAAAUAUAAUAAUAAUAAUAAUAAUAAUAAUCCACAAAACAAAGUAUUUCCUUGUGUUGAUGAUUGUGUUGACGACUCGCGACAAAAUGUAUCCCAACUUAUAUGAUAAUACUAAUAAUAUGGUAUGCAUUUCACUCUAUUAGGAUUGACGACCGAAAUCCAUCAAUCUCUCUGCAGAAAAGAUCAAACCUACAAUGGACCCCUUCAGUUUAUACCAGGGAAAGACUAACUCAAUUCUUUCAAUCUCUGUAAGGUAUAAAACUCAACUGGUUCUUUCCAUCUCUAUGCCAGGAACAGUCAACUCCAUUCUUCUAUCUUGGUGUAGGGAAAAACAACAGUGUACCCCUUCAAAUUAUACCAGGGAAAGACUAACUCAAUUCUUUCAAUCUCUGUACGGUAUAAAACUCAACUGGUUCUUUCCAUCUCUAUGCCAGGAAUAGUCAACUCCAUUCUUCUAUCUUGGUGUAGGGAAAAACAACAGUGUACCCCUUCAAAUUAUACCAGGGAAAGACUAACUCAAUUCUUUCAAUCUCUGUAAGGUAUAAAACUCAACUGGUUCUUUGUGUUUAUAUGCCAGGAACAGUCAACUGCAUUCUUCUAUCUUGGUGUAGGGAAAAAUAACUGUGUACCCCUUCAAAUUAUACCAGGGAAAGACUAACUCAAUUCUUUCAAUCUCUGUACGGUAUAAAACUCAACUGGUUCUUUCCAUCUCUAUGCCAGGAACAGUCAAUUCCAUUCUUCUAUCUUGGUGUAGGGAAAAACAACUGUGUACCCCUUCAAAUUAUACCAGGGAAAGACUAACUCAAUUCUUUCAAUCUCUGUAAGGUAUAAAACUCAACUGGUUCUUUCCAUCUCUGUGCCAGGAAUAGUCAACUCCAUUCUUCUAUCUUGGUGUAGGGAAAAACAACAGUGUACCCCUUCAAAUUAUACCAGAGAAAGACUAACUCAAUUCUUUCAAUCUCUGUAAGGUAUAAAACUCAACUGGUUCUUUCGAUCUCUAUGCCAGGAACAGUCAACUGCAUUCUUCUAUCUUGGUGUAGGGAAAAAUAACUGUGUACCCCUUCAAAUUAUACCAGGGAAAGACUAACUCAAUUCUUUCAAUCUCUGUAAGGUAUAAAACUCAACUGGUUCUUUCCAUCUCUAUGCCAGGAAUAGUCAACUCCAUCCUUCUAUCUUGGUGUAGGGAAAAACAACAGUGUACCCCUUCAAAUUAUACCAGGGAAAGACUAACUCAAUUCUUUCAAUCUCUGUAAGGUAUAAAACUCAACUGGUUCUUUCCAUCUCUAUGCCAGAAACAAAGUCAAUUCCAUCCUUCUAUCUUGGUGUAGGGAAAAAUAACUCUGUACCCCUUCAAUCUUUACCAGGGAAAGACUAACUCAAUUCUUUCAAUCUCUGUAAGGUAUAAAACUCAACUGGUUCUUUCCAUCUCUAUGCCAGGAACAAAGUCAAUUCCAUCCUUCUAUCUUGGUGUAGGGGAAAAUAACUGUGUACCCCUUCAAAUUAUACCAGGGAAAGACAUAACUGGAUCUAUUUCCUCUGCCCGGAUGGAAAAUUGACAAAUUAUUUCUGUCUCUAUACCAGGGAAAGACAAAAUUUGAUCCUAUUUCUCUGCCCGGAUGGAAAGUUAACAAAUUAUUUCUGCCUCUAUACCAGGGAAAGACAAAAUUUGAUCCGAUUUCUCUGCCCGGAUGGAAAAUUGACAAACCAUUUCUGCGUCUAUACCAGGGAAAGACAAAAUUUGAUCCUAUUUCUCUGCCCGGAUGGAAAGUUAACAAAUUAUUUCUGCCUCUGUACCAGGGAAAGACAAAAUUUGAUCCCAUUUCUCUGCCCGGAUGGAAAAUUGACAAAUUAUUUCUGCGUCUAUACCAGGGAAAGACAAAAUUUGAUCCCAUUUCUCUGCCCGGAUGGAAAGUUAACAAAUUAUUUCUGCGUCUAUACCAGGGAAAGACAAAAUUUGAUCCCAUUUCUCUGCCCGGAUGGAAAAUUGACAAAGUAUUUCUGCCUCUAUACCAGGAACAAGAACUCAAAACACAUCCUUCCUUCUGUCUGAACUUAUAAAAAACAUAUCAGGUCGUUUCUACCCGAGGAAAUAACUAAACAAUUCUCUUUUUCAUUUCUAUGCAUGGAAGAAAAUACACAGACCCUUUCUAUUAUAUGUAAACAAAUGUAAAUGAAUGUCCUCCCUCUGUACCCACCAAUGUAAACAGAGGUAAAUGGACUUGUAAAUGACCAUUGUAUAACUAUUAAACUAACCUCCUAUCAAGAGAGAGAAAGAGAGAGAGAGAGAGAGGAUAUACUAUACUUGCAAAUAUAUAAAAAAAAAAUCACUUUAUGUAAAAAAUUGCAAACAGAGAGAGAGAGAGAGAGAGAGAGAGAAAGGAUAUACUAUGCUUGCAAAUAUAUAAAAAAAAAUCACUUUAUGUAAACAAAUGCAGAGAGAGAGAGAGAGAGAGAGAGAGAGAGA